This 256-nucleotide ribosomal RNA is filed under the name uncultured bacterium. RNAcentral describes it as "partial 16S ribosomal RNA". It matches the Rfam family "Bacterial small subunit ribosomal RNA", at positions 524 to 777 of the family's 1533-position model. The record is from RNAcentral.
GACAGAGGGUGCAAACGUUGUUCGGAAUUACUGGGCGUAAAGCGCGUGUAGGCGGCCCUGCAAGUCGGAUGUGAAAUCCCACGGCUCAACCGUGGAAGUGCAUUCGAAAACUGCAGGGCUAGAGUCCUGGAGAGGAAGGUGGAAUGCUUGGUGUAGAGGUGAAAUUCGUAGAUAUCAAGCGGAACACCGGUGGCGAAGGCGGCCUUCUGGACAGUGACUGACGCUGAGGAGCGAAAAGCGUGGGGAGCGAAGAGGA